CCUACGGGCGGCAGCAGUGGGGAAUAUUGGACAAUGGGGGGAACCCUGAUCCAGCGACGCCGCGUGAGUGAAGAAGUAUCUCGGUAUGUAAAGCUCUAUCAGCAGGGAAGAAAGAAAUGACGGUACCUGACUAAGAAGCCCCGGCUAACUACGUGCCAGCAGCCGCGGUAAUACGUAGGGGGCAAGCGUUAUCCGGAUUUACUGGGUGUAAAGGGAGCGUUGACGGCUGAGCAAGUCGGAAGGGAAAGGCGGGGGCCCAACCCCCGGACUGCUUUGGAAACUGUAUAGCUAGAGUGAAGGAGAGGUAAGUGGAAUUCCUAGGGUAGCGGUGAAAGGCGUAGAUAUUAGGAGGAACACCAGUGGCGAAGGCGG
Molecule: ribosomal RNA, 372 nt
Filed under: uncultured bacterium
Lineage: Bacteria
Description: partial 16S ribosomal RNA
Rfam family: Bacterial small subunit ribosomal RNA
Source: RNAcentral